UACAGAGGUGGCAAGCGUUGUUCGGAAUUACUGGGCGUAAAGGGCGCGUAGGCGGUUCGAUAAGUCCCGUGUGAAAUCCCUCGGCUCAACUGAGGAACUGCACGGGAAACUGACGGGCUUGAGUUCGGGAGAGGGAAGCGGAAUUCCGGGUGUAGCGGUGAAAUGCGUAGAUAUCCGGAGGAACACCGGUGGCGAAGGCGGCUUCCUGGACCGGCACUGACGCUGAGGCGCGAAAGCUAGGGGAGCAAACGGG
RNAcentral lists this ribosomal RNA (253 nucleotides) under uncultured bacterium. RNAcentral's name for it is "partial 16S ribosomal RNA". It matches the Rfam family "Bacterial small subunit ribosomal RNA", at positions 524 to 776 of the family's 1533-position model. The record is from RNAcentral.